UACGGGAGGCAGCAGGGGGAAUAUUGCACAAUGGGCGAAAGCCUGAUGCAGCUAUGCCGCGUGUAUGAAGAAGGCCUUAGGGUUGUAAAGUACUUUCAUCGGGGAGGAAAAACAAAACUAAUAAUUUUAUUUCUUGACGUUACCCGAAAAAGAAGCACCGGCUAACUCCGUGCCAGCAGCCGCGGUAAUACGGAGGGUGCUAGCGUUAAUCAGAAUUACUGGGCGUAAAGAGCACGUAGGUGGUUUUUUUAAGUCAGAUGUGAAAUCCCUGGGCUUAACCUGGAACUGCAUUUUGAAACUGAAAUACUAGAGUAUCGUAGAGGGAGGUAGAAUUCUAGGUGUAGCGGUGGAAAUGCGUAGAUAUCUGGAGGAAUACCUGUGGCGAAAGCGGCCUCCUAAACGAAUACUGACACUGAGGGUGCGAAAGCGUGGGGAGCAAACAGGGAUUAGAUACC
This 455-nucleotide ribosomal RNA is filed under the name uncultured bacterium. RNAcentral's name for it is "bacterial SSU rRNA". It matches the Rfam family "Bacterial small subunit ribosomal RNA", at positions 340 to 786 of the family's 1533-position model. The record is from RNAcentral.